GCUUCUUGCGCAGCUAUAAUGCAGUCGACGGUAUAUAUCUUUCGGGAUAUAGAGAGUGGCGCACGGGUGCGUAACGCGUAUGCAACCUACCCAAUACAGGGGGAUAGCCCGGAGAAAUCUGGAUUAAUACCCCAUGGCACCUUGGAGGGGCAUUCCUUUAAGGUUAAAGAUUUAUCGGUAUUGGAUGGGCAUGCGUCUGAUUAGCUAGUUGGAGGUGUAACGGACCACCAAGGCGACGAUCAGUAGGGGUUCUGAGAGGAAGGUCCCCCACACUGGCACUGAGAUACGGGCCAGACUCCUACGGGAGGCAGCAGUAGGGAAUAUUGGGCAAUGGACGAGAGUCUGACCCAGCCAUGCCGCGUGCAGGAAGACGGCGUUCUGCGUUGUAAACUGCUUUUAUCUGGGAAGAAAAGGCCCAUGCGUGGGACAUUGCCGGUACCAGAUGAAUAAGCACCGGCUAACUCCGUGCCAGCAGCCGCGGUAAUACGGAGGGUGCAAGCGUUGUCCGGAUUUAUUGGGUUUAA
This 524-nucleotide ribosomal RNA is filed under the name Algoriphagus sp. RNAcentral describes it as "bacterial SSU rRNA". It matches the Rfam family "Bacterial small subunit ribosomal RNA", at positions 35 to 563 of the family's 1533-position model. The record is from RNAcentral. Lineage: Bacteria; Pseudomonadati; Bacteroidota; Cytophagia; Cytophagales; Cyclobacteriaceae.